Molecule: ribosomal RNA, 484 nt
Filed under: uncultured bacterium
Lineage: Bacteria
Description: partial 16S ribosomal RNA
Rfam family: Bacterial small subunit ribosomal RNA
Source: RNAcentral
GAUGAACGCUGGCGGCGUGCUUAACACAUGCAAGUCGAACGGAAACAGGAUGAAGCCUAGCGAUUCCUGUUUUAGUGGCGGACGGGUGAGUAACGCGUGGGUAACCUGCCUUACACUGGGCGAUAACAGUUAGAAAUAGCUGCUAAUACCGCAUAAGCGCACAGGGCCGCAUGGCCUGGUGUGAAAAACUCCGGUGGUGUAAGAUGGACCCGCGUCUGAUUAGCUAGUUGGUGAGGUAACGGCCCACCAAGGCGACGAUCAGUAGCCGGCCUGAGAGGGUGAACGGCCACAUUGGGACUGAGACACGGCCCAAACUCCUACGGGAGGCAGCAGUGGGGAAUAUUGCACAAUGGGGGAAACCCUGAUGCAGCGACGCCGCGUGAGUGAAGAAGUAUUUCGGUAUGUAAAGCUCUAUCAGCAAGGGAGAAAAUGACGGUACUUGACUAAGAAGCCCCGGCUAACUACGUGCCAGCCGCCGCGGUAA